RNAcentral lists this ribosomal RNA (515 nucleotides) under uncultured bacterium. RNAcentral describes it as "partial 16S ribosomal RNA". It matches the Rfam family "Bacterial small subunit ribosomal RNA", at positions 28 to 523 of the family's 1533-position model. The record is from RNAcentral.
GAUGAACGCUGGCGGCGUGCCUAAUACAUGCAAGUCGAGCGAAUGGAUUAAGAGCUUGCUCUUAUGAAGUUAGCGGCGGACGGGUGAGUAACACGUGGGUAACCUGCCCAUAAGACUGGGAUAACUCCGGGAAACCGGGGCUAAUACCGGAUAAUAUUUUGAACUGCAUGGUUCAAAAUUGAAAGGCGGCUUCGGCUGUCACUUAUGGAUGGACCCGCGUCGCAUUAGCUAGUUGGUGAGGUAACGGCUCACCAAGGCAACGAUGCGUAGCCGACCGGAGAGGGGGACCGGCCACACUGGGACUGAGACACGGCCCAGACUCCUACGGGAGGAAGCAGUAGGGAAUCUUCCGCAAUGGACGAAAGUCUGACGGAGCAACGCCGCGUGAGUGAUGAAGGCUUUCGGGUCGUAAAACUCUGUUGUUAGGGAAGAACAAGUGCUAGUUGAAUAAGCUGGCACCUUGACGGUACCUAACCAGAAAGCCACGGCUAACUACGUGCCAGCCGCCGCAGUAA